RNAcentral lists this ribosomal RNA (459 nucleotides) under uncultured bacterium. Its description in RNAcentral is "partial 16S ribosomal RNA". It matches the Rfam family "Bacterial small subunit ribosomal RNA", at positions 339 to 795 of the family's 1533-position model. The record is from RNAcentral.
CUACGGGGGGCUGCAGUGAGGAAUAUUGGACAAUGGUCGAAAGACUGAUCCAGCCAUGCCGCGUGCAGGAUGAAUGCCCUAUGGGUUGUAAACUGCUUUUAUACGGGAAGAACACCACCCACGUGUGGGUGACUGACGGUACCGUAAGAAUAAGGACCGGCUAACUCCGUGCCAGCAGCCGCGGUAAUACGGAGGGUCCAAGCGUUAUCCGGAAUCAUUGGGCUUAAAGGGUCCGUAGGCGGGCUAUUAAGUCAGAGGUGACAGUUUGCAGCUCAACUGUAAAAUUGCCUUUGAUACUGGUAGUCUUGAGUUAUAGUGAAGUGGUUAGAAUAUGUGGUGUAGCGGUGAAAUGCAUAGAUAUCAUAUAGAAUACCAAUUGCGAAGGCAGAUCACUAGCUAUAUACUGACGCUGAUGGACGAAAGCGUGGGGCGCGAACGGGAUUAGAUACCCGCGUAGUC